RNAcentral lists this long non-coding RNA (540 nucleotides) under Cricetulus griseus (Chinese hamster). RNAcentral's name for it is "lncRNA (ENSCGRG00015030709.1)". The record is from RNAcentral. Lineage: Eukaryota; Metazoa; Chordata; Mammalia; Rodentia; Cricetidae.
UGAACUUGUGGUACAGACUGCUGCCACGCCGGCUGGCUAGGUUGCUCUAGCCUUCAUCCAGCAGCUGAUGGAAGUAGAAGCAGAUACAGCUAAAAACUGAACUGAACUGGAAUACAGUUGCAGAGGACGACUGAUGAGCAGAGUGAUCCAUACCAGGCCGGUGAAACCUACAGAAACAGCUGACCUGAACAAGAGGGAGCUCUUGACCCCCAGACUGAUCACUGGAAAACCAGCAUGGAACUGAUCCUGACCCAUAAAUUUGGGUGUCAGUGAGAAGGCCUCAGAAAUCUAUGGAGCCUAUUGUAAUAGAUAAGUACUUAUCCCUAGCAUAGGAAUGGACUUUGGGGGCCCAUUUCACAUAGAGGGAUACUCCCUCAGCCUAGACACACAGGGAAGGUCCUAGACCCUAUCCCAAAGGAUAUGACAGACUCUAAAGACCCACCUAUGGAAGGCCUCACUCUCUCUGGGGAGCAGAAAUGGUAUUGAAUAGGUAGGGUGUUAGUGGGGGACAGGGGAGGAGAGGAGGGAGAGGGAACUGGG